This 447-nucleotide ribosomal RNA is filed under the name uncultured bacterial symbiont of Hodotermes mossambicus Hm40. Its description in RNAcentral is "bacterial SSU rRNA". It matches the Rfam family "Bacterial small subunit ribosomal RNA", at positions 1090 to 1533 of the family's 1533-position model. The record is from RNAcentral.
CAACGAGCGCAACCCYUACUGCCAGUUACUAACAGGUUAUGCUGAGGACUCUGGCGGAACUGCCGGUGACAAACCGGAGGAAGGUGGGGAUGACGUCAAGUCAUCAUGGCCCUUAUGUCCAGGGCUACACACGUGCUACAAUGGGCGGUACAAAGUGACGCGAUGCCGUAAGGCUAUAGCAAAUCACAAAAAGCCGCCCUUAGUUCGGAUUGAAGUCUGAAACCCGACUUCAUGAAGUUGGAAUCGCUAGUAAUCGCAUAUCAGCAUGAUGCGGUGAAUACGUUCCCGGGCCUUGUACACACCGCCCGUCACACCAUCCGAGUUGAGGAUACCCGAAGCCGGUAGUCCAACCGCAAGGAGGACGCUGUCGAAGGUAUGCUUAGUGAGGGGGGUGAAGUCGUAACAAGGUAGCCGUACUGGAAAGUGCGGCUGGAUCACCUCCUUUCU